CGUUAAGGGCGUGUUAAUGAUUCCAAAGUAUGAAUCGCAUUAUCCAGUUUGUCUGGAUGUCGAGUGGCUCCUGCCCACUCUGUUUGACGCCUCCCUGUUGACCUUCGAGCCGCCUUUGGCGGCUCUUUUUUU
RNAcentral lists this small RNA (132 nucleotides) under uncultured Allobosea sp. Its description in RNAcentral is "Alphaproteobacterial sRNA BjrC1505". It matches the Rfam family "Alphaproteobacterial sRNA BjrC1505". The record is from RNAcentral. Lineage: Bacteria; Pseudomonadati; Pseudomonadota; Alphaproteobacteria; Hyphomicrobiales; Alloboseaceae.